AGUCUUAUAGUGUAAAAAAAACGUUAGGUUGCAAAUCUAAAGAUGUCUUUAAAACUGAGACUU
This 63-nucleotide transfer RNA is filed under the name Spongicola levigatus. RNAcentral describes it as "tRNA-Cys". Lineage: Eukaryota; Metazoa; Arthropoda; Malacostraca; Decapoda; Spongicolidae. The record is from RNAcentral.